AUGUCGAUUAAGUAGAAAAAUAAAUAAAGUUCCCCUGAAAAAAGUAGAAACAGAAAUAUUGAGUAUAUUAAAAAUAUGUGAUGAUCAAAUCUAAAAGAGGAUUUAGAUUAGUCAUCAAUAUGAUAUUUAUUUUGGUUAGUCUCUAAUGUCGAUUAAGUAGCAAAAUAAAUGUUUAGUAUAUUAAAAAUUUGUGAUGAUCAAAUAUAAAAGAGGAUUUAGAGUAGUCAUCGAUAUAAUUAAACUUAAUGGUGAGAAUAAUGGUGGAAUAGUGUAUAAGGGGAGGAACAAGAUAUUUUUGCUACUCCUCUUGUUUACAAAAGUUGCUCUUUCUUUUUAAGCCUCCUUGUUCUGAUUUUUAUUGUUUCUAUUUGUACUCAAAAUUAGGUUAAAAUAUGAGGAAGAUGACAAAUUGUACUGUGUUAGUGUUUGGUUGAAAUUGCAAGAUUGGUGGUUAGGAGAAUGAAAUCAUAGUAAAGUGAAGAUUGUGGAGUAAUGUUUCAAAUGGAAAAAUGAAAAAACAGUUGGUAAAUAUGAAUUGGAAUGACACAAAGAUAGGAAGAUAGGUUGUUCACGUUUGUUAUUAUCUUUUACUUUUGUUUCUUUAGUUUGGUGAAAUGUGAAAGAGUGAAACAGAGAACAAAGGCUAUUGUGCAUUUGAUCCUCUUUUCUUUUCUUCUUUGUAAUUAUUCCAAUACACAUUUUUAUCAUUGUUUUGAAAUUCUAUUCAUUAUACUGCAAUUAAAUAAAUACUAGCAAGUGAGUGAAACCACAUUCUAUUAUGUUUAGAAUUUUUUUGUUUUUAGAAAAAUAAUAUGAUGACAAGUAAUACAUGAUAUAUCAAAUUAUCAAAUAUUUAUCUUUUGAUUUUCAUAAUUGAUGUCUCAACCCUUUAAUGGAUGCGCUUUCAAUUUGUAGUUUCUUUCGGCUCUUUUUGUGUGUGGAUCUUUUGUAAAACUAUUUUCUUCCUGUUGCACUUCUUUUGCCAGGGCGAUAUGUUUCCGUGGUAUAUAAUUUAUUUUGGCUUGUUUAAAGAAAAAUCCCAAAUGUUACCCGUUUAUUUAAUAUAUUUUAUAGGAUAAAAAUUUAAGAUAAUUUUCGUUAAGAAUUUUUUUUUUUUUGAGCAAGUUAAGAAAAUACUUAUCACUAUGUUAAGUUGUAGUUAAAUUAAUGAUUCUUUGCACUGUCGAUUGUUGUUGCAUUUCUAAGAGUGUGUUUGGAUGAGGGAAUGUAAUGUUAUGAGGGAAUUUAAAUACUUUGAGGUGAAUUCCAUUGUUUGGAUGUGGGGAAUGUAAUGUAAUGUUGAGGAAAUAUAAUGCUAUGAGGGAAUUCAAAUACUUUGAGGUAAAUUGCCUAGAAUUUUAAAUUCUUUAAAAUUUUCAAAUUACCUCAUCCAAACACACUCUAAGAUUUAAAUAUGAUUUUAGUUCCUACUAUUAUUAUGUUUAAGUUUUAGUCCCUAUAAAUUUUUUAUUUGACCUCGGUCCUUUUUUUGAAGUUUAAUGGUUGAACUAUUAUCACAUAACACAAUAGUACAUCCAUAAUACAUAUGAGCUAAAUUUCCCAUAUUCUUCAUCAUCCAUACUGCUUGACAAACACAAGUUUCGGCUUCACAAACAAGACUUCAGUUGUUACAAGUGUGAGUAUAAAAAAGUUAUAUCUAUUAAGACUUUUGACAAGUGUACCGAAAUUCGUUCAAGUAACAACAGUGAUAAGAAAGAUUAUCUCCAGCUAAAUGACAUGACAUGUAACAUUUUAUCAUCAUCGAUAUUUAUUUCAAUGAUUUAAAACAAACACAGCUGUCCCUCGUACAUUGCGGUAGCCGAGGAAGAAUACACUUAAUUUUUGCUACACAAUGAGAGUCCUUACGACAUUCAAAAAAUAUUGUAAUGAUAAAAGAGAAGAUAAAAAUGUUACUAAUUAAAUGGGAUAAAAGGUUAGAUAAGAUGUAAAGAAUAAAAUUGUAAAAUAAUGAAAAAUGACUUACCGGCAUCGUUCAUUGCAAUGAAAAAUAGUGAAAGAAAGAGGAUCGUAAUAUAAACAAAGUUAGUGACUUUCCCAUAUUUUUCCCUUUUGCAUGAAACAAAUAAAAUAGAAUUUGAUGAAUUAAUGUAUUAAGCGCACAGUUUCUUU
Molecule: long non-coding RNA, 2130 nt
Filed under: Medicago truncatula (barrel medic)
Lineage: Eukaryota; Viridiplantae; Streptophyta; Magnoliopsida; Fabales; Fabaceae
Description: long non-coding RNA (MTRU_LNC004573)
Source: RNAcentral